GACAACAGUUGGAAACGACUGCUAAUACCCUAUGAGCCCUAUGGGGGAAAGAUUUAUCGCCAUGAGAUGUGCCCGCGUUAGAUUAGCUAGUUGGUAAGGUAAUGGCUUACCAAGGCGACGAUCUAUAGCUGGUCUGAGAGGAUGAUCAGCCACACUGGGACUGAGACACGGCCCAGACUCCUACGGGAGGCAGCAGUGGGGAAUAUUGGACAAUGGGGGCAACCCUGAUCCAGCCAUGCCGCGUGUGUGAUGACGGCCUUAGGGUUGUAAAGCACUUUCAGCAGUGAAGAUAAUGACAUUAACUGCAGAAGAAGCCCCGGCUAACUUCGUGCCAGCAGCCGCGGUAAUACGAAGGGGGCUAGCGUUGUUCGGAAUCACUGGGCGUAAAGAGUACGUAGGC
This 400-nucleotide ribosomal RNA is filed under the name Pseudovibrio sp. 83V1. Its description in RNAcentral is "bacterial SSU rRNA". It matches the Rfam family "Bacterial small subunit ribosomal RNA", at positions 142 to 576 of the family's 1533-position model. The record is from RNAcentral. Lineage: Bacteria; Pseudomonadati; Pseudomonadota; Alphaproteobacteria; Hyphomicrobiales; Stappiaceae.